Molecule: ribosomal RNA, 446 nt
Filed under: uncultured bacterium
Lineage: Bacteria
Description: bacterial SSU rRNA
Rfam family: Bacterial small subunit ribosomal RNA
Source: RNAcentral
AACGCGAAGAACCUUACCUGGCCUUGACAUGCACGUAGUAGGAGAAUGAAAGUUCGACGAGGUAGCAAUACCAGCGUGCACAGGUGCUGCAUGGCUGUCGUCAGCUCGUGCCGUGAGGUGUUCGGUUAAGUCCGGUAACGAGCGCAACCCCUGUGGCCUGUUGUUACCCGAGCAAUCGGGACACUCUGGCCAGACUGCCCUGUGAAACGGGGAGGAAGGUGGGGACGACGUCAAGUCAGUAUGGUCCUUACGGCCAGGGCUGCACACGUGCUACAAUGCCCGGUACAAAGGGAAGCCAACCCGCAAGGGGCAGCCAAUCCCAGAAAACCGGGCUCAGUUCAGAUUGAAGGCUGCAACCCGCCUUCAUGAAGCUGGAAUCGCUAGUAAUGGCGCAUCAGCUACGGCGCCGUGAAUACGUUCCCGGGCCUUGUACACACCGCUACAGU